AGUGAACGCUGGCGGUAGGCCUAACACAUGCAAGUCGAACGGCAGCACAGAGGAGCUUGCUCCUUGGGUGGCGAGUGGCGGACGGGUGAGGAAUACAUCGGAAUCUACUCUGUCGUGGGGGAUAACGUAGGGAAACUUACGCUAAUACCGCAUACGACCUACGGGUGAAAGCAGGGGAUCUUCGGACCUUGCGCGAUUGAAUGAGCCGAUGUCGGAUUAGCUAGUUGGCGGGGUAAAGGCCCACCAAGGCGACGAUCCGUAGCUGGUCUGAGAGGAUGAUCAGCCACACUGGAACUAAGACACGGUCCAGACUCCUACGGGAGUCAGCAGUGGGGAAUAUUGGACAAUGGGCGCAAGCCUGAUCCAGCCGUACCGCGUGGGUGAAGAAGGCCUUCGGGUUGUAAAGCCCUUUUGUUGGGAAAGAAAUCCAUCUGGUUAAUACCCGGGUGGGAUGACGGUACCCAAAGAAUAAGCACCGGCUAACUUCGUGCCAGCAGCCGCCGUAA
RNAcentral lists this ribosomal RNA (506 nucleotides) under uncultured bacterium. Its description in RNAcentral is "partial 16S ribosomal RNA". It matches the Rfam family "Bacterial small subunit ribosomal RNA", at positions 29 to 523 of the family's 1533-position model. The record is from RNAcentral.